This is a long non-coding RNA of Salvelinus sp. IW2-2015, 413 nucleotides long. RefSeq lists it as uncharacterized. NCBI's taxonomy places the organism in Eukaryota, Metazoa, Chordata, Actinopteri, Salmoniformes, Salmonidae. The transcript is spliced from 2 exons. The record is from RefSeq and is a predicted model, not a curated record.
CUCUGGGUGGAGGGUGUUGUUUUCCUGAGCUUGUCUCCUGCUCUUGUUUUUGCAGGUGAGUCAGAGUCCGAACAAGCUGACGGCCAAGGCUCAGUUGAGUAUGCCCAGUUAAACCACAAUGACCAUGAGUCAGAAGAACCAGAGCACGAACCAGAACAAGAACCCCGGCCUGAACCAGAGCCAGAACCAGAACAAGGAUCAGAGCAAGACGGACAACUUGAAUGACCACCAUCAAUAUUUAUUCUCUAAUUUAUUCAGACCAUUGAACAACUGGAGCUGUUAUUGAUUUGAAUGCAUUUGUAUAUUUUCUAUAUUUUUUACACCUCUUCUUCUUAUUAACCUUUUGUACAGUCUUUAAAUGCCUGUAAUUAUGCCUUUGUGAAUUGAGAAUAAAACAAUGCAGCAGAAUGGGA